This 253-nucleotide ribosomal RNA is filed under the name uncultured bacterium. RNAcentral's name for it is "partial 16S ribosomal RNA". It matches the Rfam family "Bacterial small subunit ribosomal RNA", at positions 524 to 776 of the family's 1533-position model. The record is from RNAcentral.
UACGUAGGGGGCAAGCGUUGUCCGGAAUCAUUGGGCGUAAAGCGCGUGUAGGCGGUCCGGUAAGUCCGCUGUGAAAGUCGGGGGCUUAACCCUCGGAUGCCGGUGGAUACUGUCGGGCUUGAGUACGGAAGAGGCGAGUGGAAUUCCUGGUGUAGCGGUGAAAUGCGCAGAUAUCAGGAGGAACACCGGUGGCGAAGGCAGCUCUCUGGGACGGUACUGACGCUGAGACGCGAAAGCGUGGGGAGCGAACAGG